RNAcentral lists this unclassified non-coding RNA (492 nucleotides) under Hevea brasiliensis (rubber tree). The record is from RNAcentral. Lineage: Eukaryota; Viridiplantae; Streptophyta; Magnoliopsida; Malpighiales; Euphorbiaceae.
AUGGGAUGUGGAGGUGAUCAUUCAUGAGAUGAGACAGAAUACAAAUUAUUCUUAACCAACAAUAAUGCUAACUGUUCCGGGGGGUUAAAGAUCCACCUGAAGCUCGGGCUACCUAAUCUAGCAUUAGAAGCUGUUAGUUGGCUGAUCUAGGAAUGAAGGAUACAAAGAACCCAGAAUAAUUUGACAAUAAGCUUUUGAUAUUAUGAAUGAUCACCUCCACAUCCCAUGGGAAUGGAGUAUUAGAAGAUAAAAUCAGGUGAAUAGUUUGUAGGGUGUCCGAUUCUAUCACACACUCGACAAUGCCCUUGAAAACUGCAAAUUCAAUAGCUGCUUUCAUGCCCAGAGCUUCUGCUACCAAGGGGGAUAAACAAUUAAAAAUAGCUGCACAACCAUCUAUAAAUGGGCCUGUAGAGUUUCUCAAAAUAACACAAUAGCCAGCCUUGGAUGAAACAUUACUAAAGGAUGCGACAACAUUCAAUUUCACCGUACAAG